This is a long non-coding RNA of Megalobrama amblycephala (Wuchang bream), 1294 nucleotides long. RefSeq lists it as uncharacterized. The transcript has 5 exons. Lineage: Eukaryota; Metazoa; Chordata; Actinopteri; Cypriniformes; Xenocyprididae. The record is from RefSeq and is a predicted model, not a curated record.
GUAUGUUUACGGUUUGAUGUCAUUUUUACAGUAUUGUUCUGGUAACCACAGCUGCCGGUAUUUUUCCGUAGAAACAACGGGAUUUUUUUUACAGUGUGGUAAAACUCAUUCACUGAUCAAAUCUACAUGGGUUUCUUGCUUUUCUAGGUUUCUAGGCUAAAAUAAGUUUGCAUCUUUUUCUGUGUUCAGUUCCUGAUGUCUCUCUUGAAGAUCCUCAUGUUCCUGUUUCUGUCACUGAACCAAAACCAGUUGUGACCACUAAAGCUUUUGAGAGAAACAGGUUUCCAAAACCAGCAACUGUGAGAACAGACACCGGCACUGAGAAGAACACAUGCCACAUGAUGGAGUGUUUCUGUCUGUCACAGAAUUAGAGAUCACAGGCUGUUCUCCACAUUGAUCUGAAGGACUUUUGUGUCUAGAUAAAUAACAGGUUCAGUGAAAAACCCUUCAGAUUUGUAUUUGUUACUGUUAAGGUUAGCAGUUAGCAAACUUUUGUUUUGCAGUAGGAAGUCCUCAUUGCAGUUUAUUCUAGUCAGGAACCACCCACACAGACAGGAAGUGACAGUCUGAUUGACAUAUAAAGUGACCAAUCAGAGUUCAGCUUGUUUUCAAGUGUCAUUUAGGGGCGGGGUUAUCGGAAAUCACUUACCGCAAUAAUUAAAUAGUAGCACGACAGACUCACAUCAUAGAAACAUAAAAGCAUUCAUUAUUUUGUUUGCAGUACAAAACAGUACAUUAUUUUGUUCACUUUCUGUCUUGUUCGGCAUUAGUUCUCAUUUGUUGCUAUGGUGUCUAAUUAGUAUUCUGUCCAGCCAUGCCUGUUUAGUUCCCUCAUUAUCCAUGUAUAUUUUUACUCCCUGUAUGGUUCAGUCCUUUGUCGGUUAAUGUUUGUUACUAAUGCUCCCUUACUUAUUUUUAUUAUUACUUAUAUACUUAUUUGUUUUUUUUUUUUUUUAUUUCUGCUUGCUUGUGAGGUGACCUUGAGUGUUAUGAAAGGUGCUAUUAAUAAAAUGCAUUAUUAUUAUUAUUAUUAUUAUUAUUAUUAUUCUCUGUGUUCGUCGUUCAUUAAAGACUGUUUGUUUACAACCAGUUCCUUCGUCAUGCACUUUAUAAGCUACAUACUCACAAUGUAAAAAGAAAACUUUGAAAACAACCUUCUUGGAAUGUGAAGUUUUCAUAACAGUGAGACAAAAUGUUUUGAGAACAACAUUUUCAGAGCAUCCUUAUGAUAUAUUUGUACUUGAGGAAUGUUCUCAUAAUGUUGAGAGAAAAUGCCAUUAGAACAACAUUCUUG